AACCUGCAACUUGACUCUGGGAUAAGCCUGGGAAACCGGGUCUAAUACUGGAUACGACGUCCUACCGCAUGGUGGGGCGUGGAAAGGGUUUUACUGGUUUUGGAUGGGCUCACGGCCUAUCAGCUUGUUGGUGGGGUAAUGGCCUACCAAGGCGACGACGGGUAGCCGGCCUGAGAGGGUGACCGGCCACACUGGGACUGAGACACGGCCCAGACUCCUACGGGAGGCAGCAGUGGGGAAUAUUGCACAAUGGGCGCAAGCCUGAUGCAGCGACGCCGCGUGAGGGAUGACGGCCUUCGGGUUGUAAACCUCUUUCAGCAGGGAAGAAGCCACAAGUGACGGUACCUGCAGAAGAAGCGCCGGCUAACUACGUGCCAGCAGCCGCGGUAAUACGUAGGGCGCAAGCGUUGUCCGGAAUUAUUGGGCGUAAAGAGCUCGUAGGCGGUUUGUCGCGUCUGCUGUGAAAGCCCGGGGCUCAACCCCGGGUCUGCAGUGGGUACGGGCAGACUAGAGUGCAGUAGGGGAGACUG
This 530-nucleotide ribosomal RNA is filed under the name Kocuria sp. JJTUAKOP8. Its description in RNAcentral is "bacterial SSU rRNA". It matches the Rfam family "Bacterial small subunit ribosomal RNA", at positions 123 to 663 of the family's 1533-position model. The record is from RNAcentral. Lineage: Bacteria; Bacillati; Actinomycetota; Actinomycetes; Micrococcales; Micrococcaceae.